AACGAACGCUGGCGGCGCGCCUAAUACAUGCAAGUCGAGCGAGAAGACGUAGCAAUACGUUUGUAAAGCGGCGAACGGGUGAGGAAUACAUGGGUAACCUACCCUCGAGUGGGGAAUAACUAGCCGAAAGGUUAGCUAAUACCGCGUACGCUCCUUGGACUUCGGUUCAGGGAGGAAAGCGAUACCGUGGGUAUCGCGCUCUUGGAUGGGCUCAUGUCCUAUCAGCUUGUUGGUGAGGUAACGGCUCACCAAGGCUUCGACGGGUAGCUGGUCUGAGAGGACGAUCAGCCACACUGGCACUGCGACACGGGCCAGACUCCUACGGGAGGCAGCAGUAAGGAAUAUUGCGCAAUGGGCGAAAGCCUGACGCAGCGACGCCGCGUGGGGGAUGAAGGUCUUCGGAUUGUAAACCCCUUUCGGUAGGGAAGAU
Molecule: ribosomal RNA, 430 nt
Filed under: uncultured bacterium
Lineage: Bacteria
Description: bacterial SSU rRNA
Rfam family: Bacterial small subunit ribosomal RNA
Source: RNAcentral